Molecule: non-coding RNA, 215 nt
Organism: Pelobates cultripes (western spadefoot toad)
Lineage: Eukaryota; Metazoa; Chordata; Amphibia; Anura; Pelobatidae
Source: the annotation of a GenBank genome assembly
GUUUAAAACAUUGAAAUACAGUGAACUGAAAUUCAAAUGACAAAAAUUAGGCAACAAUAGGUUACCUAAAAAUGUAUCCAACUUGGCAAUAGUCACACCUUUUCUAUUUUAGCCUAAAAUUUUAUAUUUGGAUUUCAGGUUUCAAAACUGUAGGGCUUUUUUAAGGCUUUAAAUUUGAAUUUCCUUCACAAUAGUUGAUAUUUAGUAUCCUUAAC